RNAcentral lists this long non-coding RNA (280 nucleotides) under Amphimedon queenslandica. RNAcentral's name for it is "uncharacterized LOC109586000". The record is from RNAcentral. Lineage: Eukaryota; Metazoa; Porifera; Demospongiae; Haplosclerida; Niphatidae.
CUACCGCUUUUCUCCAUUGAAAUGUUAGGCAAAGCAGCUCUCUCGAGUCGCUCGCCUUUUCUACUCACUUCUAGAGGAUUUCACAAGCCAAAGGUGACUUACCUCGGCCGCUGAUCAUUUUGAACAGUUUGGGUCGCGCUACUGGACUUUUCUACCUAUAUACUCUGUUUUUCGUCUUUGACAAUGUUAUAUAUGUUAGAGAGAUGAAAGGAGAACCUUUUAAAGCUAUCUAGAAUGUUAUAUUUCCAUAAAUAAAAAAGAAAAUAACAAUUAUACUACA